UCUCAACCUAGCAGCAGCGGCAGCAGCCAGGCUAUGACCACCUCUGCAGUUACUAUGGAAGAGGAGACUGUGUGAAUCACACCUUCAUGGUCUGAAUUACUGUAGAAGACACCACGAGUGAGGGAGACAACAAGAAGAAGAAGAGAGCUGUUUGGACCAAGAAACACAGAGAAUGGACAUUAGAUCAGAGGAAUUUUGUCCUUCGGUCCAACCAUCAGGUCUUUGUGAGACACAGAGAAGGUAGAUAAAAGGUAUCUGCAUGCAUGGUUCCCACCAUGAAGCAUGGAGGAGGUGUGAUGGUGCGGGGGAGCUUUGCUGGUGAUACUGUUGGUGAUUUAUUCCAAAUCUUGCGUGUCAUAGCAAAAACAACAUCAGAAGGUGUCCAAACUUUUGACUGGCACUGUAGAAUAAUAACAAUAAUAACAUAUUCACAGAAAAUCAGAAGUGGUUCACAGCAGCUACAGAAGUGGAGACUCACCUGCUCAUAUUUCUCUAGCUCUGUGUGAUAUAUCUGUCUGAUCUGUGUUAGCUUGGCCCUGUAGUCAGAGUGCUCGAUGGAGUUAUCAGUCACACCACCUGCUGCUGCAGCUGCUGCAGCUGUAGCCACUGCCGCUCCACCCCCUUUCUCAGGUCCAGCAACACCCUCUGCCAGCAGCAUGUUGUCCAGUCUCAUCAGCUGGGUGUCUGGAGGCUCUUCUUCCUGUGCACCACGGAUACUCAGUCCUGAACAAAGACAAAAAUACUGCUUAUGAAUGAAGAAGUAAAAGGUAAGGUUUUAAUGCAGUGUGUGUGUGUGUGUGUGUGUGUGUGUGUGUGUGUGUGUGUGUGUGUGUGUGUGUGUGUGUCAGAGACAGAGUGUAUCCAUGGCACCAGUCUGUAGAGACAGUAACAGUUGAAAUCUACAGAGCAGCACUCCUCUGGCUGUAAUCCCAUCAAGAUGAAACAAAACAACAUCCACACCUGAUCCCACAUCCUGCUCACCACCUUCUCUGCUGUGUACAUUAACAGCCAACCGAUGGCCAUUUUCACAAAUGACUUCUCACUUCACAAGUUCCAGGCAUGAGAUGCAACACUGUAGUUUUUAUAGUCCAGUAACAAUUUUGCAUAAAUACAGAGAAUUAAGUAUUUAUGUUUUCAACACAAACUGAACCUGUCUUGAAACCAUCAUUUUCUAUCCAUUAUACCUCACAAUACAAAAGUGUCAGACAGAAUAUAAACUGUAAAGUCGUUCUGUGGGUGGCACUACAGAGGGAAGGUCACAAAGUCUAAAUCUAUAAUAUAAUGGGUUCAUCUCAUUAGGAAAAUGAUUGUUGCUGAGCAAAUGUCAUUACAGUCUGCCUUUUAGAGUAUGACAUAUGUAAUAUUGUUGACAUUUUUAUCUGAUAGUAGGACGAGAUAAAAGCUCACAGUGUCAGUGAGAG
Molecule: long non-coding RNA, 1421 nt
Organism: Larimichthys crocea (large yellow croaker)
Lineage: Eukaryota; Metazoa; Chordata; Actinopteri; Sciaenidae
Exons: 2
Source: RefSeq, a predicted model, not a curated record